CCUACGGGUGGCAGCAGUGAGGAAUAUUGGUCAAUGGACGCAAGUCUGAACCAGCCAUGCCGCGUGCAGGAAGACGGCCCUACGAGUUGUAAACUGCUUUUGUACGAGGGUAAACUCAGAUACGCGUAUCUUUCUGAAAGUAUUUUAUGAAUAAGGAUCGGCUAACUCCGUGCCAGCAGCCGCGGUAAUACGGAGGAUUCAAGCGUUAUCCGGAUUUAUUGGGUUUAAAGGGUGCGUAGGUGGUCGGAUAAGUUAGGGGUGAAAGCCUGAGGCUCAACUGCGGAAUUGCAUUUGAUACUGGUCGGCUAGAGAAUAGUUGCGGUAGGCGGAAUGUGUGGUGUAGCGGUGAAAUGCUUAGAGAUCAUACAGAACACCGAUUGCGAAGGCAGCUUACCAAGCUACUUCUGACGUUGAGGCACGAAAGCGUGGGGAGCAAACAGGAUUAGAUACCCCAGUAGUC
RNAcentral lists this ribosomal RNA (460 nucleotides) under uncultured bacterium. RNAcentral's name for it is "partial 16S ribosomal RNA". It matches the Rfam family "Bacterial small subunit ribosomal RNA", at positions 338 to 795 of the family's 1533-position model. The record is from RNAcentral.